UGGGGGAUAUUGCACAAUGGGCGAAAGCCUGAUGCAGCGACGCCGCGUGGGGGAUGAAGGCCUUCGGGUUGUAAACUUCUUUUGCUCUGAACAAGGCAUGCUAAUGGGUGUGUUGAGUGUAGGGGUUGAUUAGCGCCGGCUAACUACGUGCCAGCAGCCGCGGUAAUACGUAGGGCGCGAGCGUUGUCCGGAAUUAUUGGGCGUAAAGGGCUUGUAGGUGGCUGGUUGCGUCUGUCGUGAAAGCUCAUGGCUUAACUGUGGGGUUGCGGUGGGUACGGGCUGGCUUGAGUGCAGGAGGAGAGGCUGGAAUUCCUGGUGUAGCGGUGGAAUGCGCAGAUAUCAGGAGGAAUACCGGUGGCGAAGGCGGGUCUCUGGGCUGUUACUGACACUGAGGAGCGAAAGCAUGGGGAGCGAACAGG
RNAcentral lists this ribosomal RNA (419 nucleotides) under bacterium. RNAcentral describes it as "partial 16S ribosomal RNA". It matches the Rfam family "Bacterial small subunit ribosomal RNA", at positions 355 to 776 of the family's 1533-position model. The record is from RNAcentral.